GAUCCUUCGCUGCGGAUACAUCGCCUUCUGUUCUGUGCCUCUUGAACGCUGCCUUUGCUCCUAUUGCGAUUUGUCUCGCGUACGAGAUACCACCUCUCACAGUAUCUCGAGGGCGGCGCUUCCCUUUGUCUCCACCCUUUGUACCUUUCCGUGGCCGGAUCUCUCGCCUCCUCGCGCCAGCGCGAGAGGACGAUGAUGCCGGCGAGAGAUCGAGGGAGAGAAUUGGAGACGAACAGAAGAGGAGAGACACAGCCGGGAUGGUGAAGGGUGGAGUUGGUACAAACGCUGGAUAAAAAGGAUUCCGGAAAGGGGGGAGAAUUGAACUCUCCACAUCCCUUCCUCCAGCUGAAUACAUCCAUAAAUAAACGUAUAAAGAUAUAAACG
Long non-coding RNA from Pogonomyrmex barbatus (red harvester ant), 384 nucleotides. The record is from RefSeq and is a predicted model, not a curated record. NCBI's taxonomy places the organism in Eukaryota, Metazoa, Arthropoda, Insecta, Hymenoptera, Formicidae.